CAGAGAAUAGUUUAUAUAAAAUAUUAACUUUGGAAGUUAAUGAAGAAUAAAUUUAUUUUUCUCUGA
Molecule: transfer RNA, 66 nt
Filed under: Pristolycus diversecostatus
Lineage: Eukaryota; Metazoa; Arthropoda; Insecta; Coleoptera; Lampyridae
Also listed under: 1 other name
Description: tRNA-Pro
Source: RNAcentral